RNAcentral lists this ribosomal RNA (415 nucleotides) under uncultured bacterium. RNAcentral's name for it is "bacterial SSU rRNA". It matches the Rfam family "Bacterial small subunit ribosomal RNA", at positions 355 to 787 of the family's 1533-position model. The record is from RNAcentral.
UGGGGAAUAUUGCACAAUGGGGAAAGCCCUGAUGCAGCGACGCCGCGUGAGCGAAGAAGUAUUUCGGUAUGUAAAGCUCUAUCAGCAGGGAAGAAAAUGACGGUACCUGACUAAGAAGCCCCGGCUAACUACGUGCCAGCAGCCGCGGUAAUACGUAGGGGGCAAGCGUUAUCCGGAUUUACUGGGUGUAAAGGGAGCGUAGACGGAUCUGCAAGUCUGGAGUGAAAGCCCGGGGCUCAACCCCGGGACUGCUUUGGAAACUGUGGAUCUAGAGUGCCGGAGAGGUAAGCGGAAUUCCUAGUGUAGCGGUGAAAUGCGUAGAUAUUAGGAGGAACACCAGUGGCGAAGGCGGCUUACUGGACGGUAACUGACGUUGAGGCUCGAAAGCGUGGGGAGCAAACAGGAUUAGAUACCC